Non-coding RNA from Kogia breviceps (pygmy sperm whale), 475 nucleotides. The record is from RefSeq and is a predicted model, not a curated record. Lineage: Eukaryota; Metazoa; Chordata; Mammalia; Artiodactyla; Physeteridae.
GGGGGGUCGCACUUCGCUGGAGCUGGUUCACGAGCCGCUGGCAGUGAAGUGGUGGGGAAAGCGCGGGACCGGAAGGAGGGACGCGGGGCUCCAGGACUUCAGCACUUUCAGGCUAAUACUGGAUGCACACGAAAUCACAUGUUGAGCAAAUAUGUGGGUGGAUCGGUCAGUAUCAGAUAAUAACUGGGCUUAAGGAAAAUAAGUUUCAAGUCAUACUUGCUUAAAAGAGAUCUUCUUAGUCAAAAGGCUACAUUGCUUAAACAGUGAGAAAAAUCCAUGAAUAGAUGGAUUUCAUAAUGACCAAAAAAAAGAAAAGGAAAGAAGGAAUCGUGAGUCACCCACGGAGGAUGCCAGGGAACUGUGACAUAAUAAGAAAUGUGUAUUUGGUGUCUACACUGGCUUCCUGGCCAGAGCUCCUGAAACACUUGGAAUUUCUUGAGUGAUCGGGUAAAAUGAGGCCUCUUUGCUUAUUUAU